GACAGAGGCGCCAAGCGUUAGGCGGAAUCACUGGGCUUAAAGCGUGUGUAGGCGGACUUGUAAGUACCUUGUGAAAUCCCACGGCUCAACCGUGGAACUGCUCGGUAUACUGCUUUUCUUGAGCCACUUAGGGGCUGUCGGAACAAACGGUGGAGCGGUGAAAUGCGUAGAUAUCUGGAGGAACACCGGUGGCGAAGGCGGCAUCCUGGACCGGCAUUGACGCUGAGGAGCGAAAGCUAGGGGAGCAAACGGG
RNAcentral lists this ribosomal RNA (253 nucleotides) under uncultured bacterium. Its description in RNAcentral is "partial 16S ribosomal RNA". It matches the Rfam family "Bacterial small subunit ribosomal RNA", at positions 524 to 776 of the family's 1533-position model. The record is from RNAcentral.